RNAcentral lists this transfer RNA (82 nucleotides) under Dreissena polymorpha. Its description in RNAcentral is "tRNA-Cys". It matches the Rfam family "tRNA". Rfam says of the family: Transfer RNA (tRNA) molecules are approximately 80 nucleotides in length. Their secondary structure includes four short double-helical elements and three loops (D, anti-codon, and T loops). Further hydrogen bonds mediate the characteristic L-shaped molecular structure. tRNAs have two regions of fundamental functional importance: the anti-codon, which is responsible for specific mRNA codon recognition, and the 3' end, to which the tRNAs corresponding amino acid is attached (by aminoacyl-tRNA synthetases). tRNAs cope with the degeneracy of the genetic code in two manners: having more than one tRNA (with a specific anti-codon) for a particular amino acid; and 'wobble' base-pairing, i.e. permitting non-standard base-pairing at the 3rd anti-codon position. Lineage: Eukaryota; Metazoa; Mollusca; Bivalvia; Myida; Dreissenidae. The record is from RNAcentral.
GUUGACGUGGCCUAGUGGUUAAUGCGAUGGAUUACAAAUCUCUUGGGAACUUCCCGCGCAGGUUCGAAACCUGCCGACAUUG